This is a long non-coding RNA of Lotus japonicus, 3508 nucleotides long. RefSeq lists it as uncharacterized. The record is from RefSeq and is a predicted model, not a curated record. The transcript has 5 exons. NCBI's taxonomy places the organism in Eukaryota, Viridiplantae, Streptophyta, Magnoliopsida, Fabales, Fabaceae.
GCAUCUCCAAUGCUAGUUCUUAGUUCUUAGCACUAUUCAUAUGAGUCUGUACUCUCAUAUGUGCUUAAGCAACUCUUUGCAGAUUUUGCUCCAACCAUGAGUUCUUAGUUCUUUAUUCUUAACACUAUUCAUCCGGUCUCACAAUAGCAUUAUAUUAAUAUUUUUUAUUUUCACAUAAUUUUGAUUUAAAUUUAAAUGCUAAUUCAAUACUUAAAUUAAAUGAAUGAGAGAAAAAAAAAAUUAAUUGUAUAGCAACGCAGUUGCAGAUCAUUUAGUUCGGAGAGGUGCUGCUGCUAUGAGUUCUGGGUCUUGGAUUAUUCCGAGACCAGACCAUGAUGUUGAGUACCUUCUGUUGAAGGACUCUCUUUCUAUUCCUUAGUUUUUUGUUUGUUUGUUUUGUAAUUUUCCGAUGAAGCAAAAAAAAAAAAAGUAAAACUUCUUAUAUAAAAACUUAGUUCUUAUUUUUAAAAACUAAGAACUCCACAUCAUCAACUCGAGUGGUUACGGAGUUCUUAACUCAAAAAUAAGAACUAAGAACCUUGCAUUGAAGAUGCUCUAAUGCGAUUGAUAUGGUAUAUAGUUGCUUUUAGAUUCUGGGUAAUUUGUAGUGAUGUUUGUUCCCUUGAUGUUCUACUAGUUGGUUACUCAAAUAGUCAACUAUAGUAACUGCGCAUAUGCAACUAACUAGACCUAAGUUUUGUGCUUUUAAUAUUCCAAUCAGUUGUGUCUCCGAUCCUAUGUGUAGAAACCAUUGAAACAAUUUAAUUUGUGUGUGAUUUAACCGUAAAUAAUCUAUGUGGGGCACCUUUAUGAUAAUUCAUAAAAAUGACUUUCUUAUCUAAUUUUGUGAAGUCUCAUAAUUGACUUUCUCAAAAUUGAAUUUGAGACUUAAAUCAAUUAACAUGUUUGGUUUUACGUUAAAAUCUAUCCAAAUCACUUUUUUAUUCUCAAAAGUUAUUUCCAAUAGUUUCUUUUAAAUGCACUUUUCCGCUCAAUGUGAAACCUAACCAAUUUUUAAAUGUAAACUUUGUGAGUGCUUUGUUCCACGUUUUGAAUUUUUGGAGUUUAGUUCUAAAGUCAAUAUAGAGUAACUUUUGUAGUUGGUUUAAUAAAUUGUUAAGAUUUUAUAACAUUACCUUAUAUAAAUUAUUUUUUCCAUGUAAAUAGUACUCCCUCCGUCCCUAAUUAUAAGCUAACAUUGAGACUUUUUUUGUGUCACUUGGCAAGUUUUGACACUUGGCAUCCAUUGAGGGAGGUUUCAACAUUUUUUGUAAGAUUAAAAAAAAUCAAAAAGAAAAUAUUAUUACUACUUUUAGAAACUUGAGAGUGGCAUCUUUGCUAAUUGUAUUUUUAUUGAAGGGUAGCCAUGUAAUAGCACCUGAAAUUUACUUUAUUUUCGAAUUAUUUUUAACCUUUAAUCUGAGUAACAUUAAUUAUUAAUUCACAUUAACUAUCCACUACCUAUUUCUAAGCCAAUCACUAUUUAACAACUUAAACCAUUUUAAAAAUUUGUUCACAAUCUAUUUAAUGUCACCAUGACCUACUCAAUUCACGUUCAAAAAAAUCUACUCAAUUCAAUUCAAUGUACCUUGCAGAUUGAAACAAGUGGGUUAUCCCAAAUUUUAAAUAAACAUUUAAAACUGAAUUUGAAUUAAAAUGAAAUUAAGAGAGCCCAAUUUUUCGAAGCCUUUUCAGAUUUUAAUUCUAUUGAACAAAAAACCCUGACUUUGCAUAGCACGCCUCUGUCUUUUCCCCUCCCAAGCCAUUGUUGGAAACGUAAACCUCUUUAUUCUUUUUGAAAAGGAACUUCCAACGCAAAUCUCAAGCUUCCAUACCCUGCUUGACCCAUUAGUUAGCAUAAAGCCUGGAGCUCUUCCACCGAAACUGCAUCACAAUUUUGCUAGAAGAUGUAGAAGACGAAGUGCUUUCGUUUCUGCUCUCUCACUCUCUGAUGCUGUCGUUUCUGCAUCACAUUUUUUCUCAAUUUUUUGUGUCUCAUUUGAUUUCAUAGGUUCGCUGCAGUCUCUUGAAUAAUAUAGUGGAGCAACUACCCAUCUAUCUGCAGAACAAUAUAUGUGAAAUGAAUCCAGAUGCAAAUGAGAUUGGAAAAGAAGAACAAUGAGAAUCAUGUCUAAGGGAGAUUUUGAUAAAUUCCAUUUUCAUAAUUUAUGUCAUCCCCCAUCAUAUGCUUUGUGGGUUGAGAAUUCGCCAUUCUGCAGUGAUGGUUGGAAACAUUAGCUGUAUAUUACGCAUGGAACACACCCCUGAGGAUGCUUUUCAUGGUUUCUAGAUUGAAUAAUCUCUUGAAGAGCUUGCACCUGCUUGCAUCUUGGAACUCCUGAGCAUGUCAAAUACCCCUGAAAAUUUUGAUAGGAGACGUGGAGCAAUAGCAGCUUUGUGAGAACUGCUUAGACAGGGUCUUGAUGUUGGAGCUUCAUGCUAAGUACAUGACUGGCCUUCCUUUCUAAGCCAAGCAUUGGGAAGUUUGCUGGCUAAUGAGAUAGGUUAUCUCCUUCCUUGGAAUAUCUUAGCUGUGAUGCGAAAGAAUAAGUAGACAAUUGAAUCACAGAAUUUAAGAGUAAUACUAUAUUCAAGUUGUUUCUAUAUAAUUUUUACAGCUCAUUUGGCACUUCGAUUUUCCAGCAAGCAAAAAGAAUUGAUUAACAAAGCAAAAAACAUAUCUGAUUGUUUGAUGGCUUCAGAUGGCUUUGAUCUGAAAUUUGAGGAAGCUUUCUGCUUAUUCCUUCUUGGAAUGCAUAUUCUUUGAUCAUGAUGUCUUAACUUCUAGGGCACAAAGGCUGAGGCGGUUGAAAAGCUUUAGCAGCUUGAGCUGAACUCAAAUCCAAAGCAUAACUCUGUCUUGGGGAAGGCAAUAAUUGAUGCUUCUGAUGCUAACCCAUCUUUGCUGAAGAUGACAGUGGAAUUGAACCUGCUAAUACAAUGCAAUUAAACUUGGAGACCAUAAGAAAGGGUACAAAUAACUUUUCCGACACAAAUAUUCUAGGACAAAGGAUUUGGACCUGUUUACAAGGGUAAGCAUUCCAAUGGAUUAGAGGUUAUUUACAAAUUCAGGACAAGGGGAUGAGGAAUUCAAGAACGAGGUGUAGUUGGUGGCCAAGCUACAACACAUAAAUUUAGUCAGGCUACUUGGUUUCAGUUUGGAAAGAGUAGAGAAGUUACUGGUCUAUGAGUUUGUUCCCAAUAAAAGCCUUUACUACUUUAUUUUUGGUGAGAACUUUUCUUGAUGUGAUGGCAGUGGCCCCUUCACUGAUAAUUCAGUUCUGCUGAAUGGUAAGUGCAUAAUUUCUGUUGAGAUGGUUAAAAAUGUUAUGUCUUGACAUGGGUUUGCAGAUCCAGUUAAGCGUGCACAUUUAGAAUGGUCAGUUUUGGUUGUAUGGUCUUGCUGAUUAGCAUGUUUACUGAAUGGCAUAUAGGAUAGCUAACACUUUUUAAUAGUCAUUGCUCAUGUUAUGUCAGGUGGUUGAUAUAUUUCAUGAUAAUUCAUAUC